Molecule: regulatory RNA element, 97 nt
Rfam family: 23S methyl RNA motif
Source: Rfam
CGGUUGUUAGUAAUUAACCAAGUUGUUAGUUAUUAAUUAAUUGGACUUCAUUAACGUAGCUGUUCGCCGUGCCCACACCGAACGGUUACGCUUUUUU